Molecule: non-coding RNA, 644 nt
Filed under: Bos taurus (domestic cattle)
Lineage: Eukaryota; Metazoa; Chordata; Mammalia; Artiodactyla; Bovidae
Source: RNAcentral
AUUUAUUGGAUUCCUCGGGGGCGCAGGGGGCAGGCUCGUCACUGCGGAGGAUCCUGGCUGGGCCGGCCUGGGAGAGGCAGAGUCUGGGCAGCAGCUGACACAAGACCAGUAGUGAGAGGUGCCCGGCCCUCGGCCACGAGGAGGGAGACGGUGGGGGUGGAGCAGGCCUGACCCAGAGGGAGGUGCAGGCCGAGGAGAAGGCCUGCACAAGGCGUGGUGGGAGCCAGAUGUCCGAUGUCCCGGAAUCCAGAGACGCGGGGUGGAGCCGGCUGGCCCGAGGAACAGAAGCAGAUCCGCCAGAACGGCCAACAGUCCGGAGGACAAGCGCUGCUCACCUGAGCCUCCCUGGGGCCCAAGGGCCUAUGGGUUGGUGGUCUCCCUGGGCUGCCCGCAGAGGCUCUAAAGACCCCUACCCACGGUGCUGAUGGGCAGUGCCGGGGGCGCGGAGAACAGCGGAGUCCGGGAUGAAGCGGCCUUUCCUCUGGGUGGGAAGUACCCGGGCUCUGCAGCACCCAACGCCGCCGCCCCAGGCCGCAGGGGCAUCGCCUGGUUCCCCGCGUCCCAGCGCCUCCGUGGUGAGUCGAGCCGCAGCGCUCUGGGUCGGUGAAGGUGGCUCAGCGCGGGCGCUCCAGUCCCGACGUUCC